GUAGGUGGCAAGCGUUGUCCGGAAUUAUUGGGCGUAAAGCGCGCGCAGGCGGGUCCUUUAAGUCUGAUGUGAAAGCCCACGGGCUCAACCGUGGAGGGUCAUUGGAAACUGGGGGACUUGAGUACAGAAGAGGAAAGCGGAAUACCAAGUGUAGCGGUGAAAUGCGUAGAGAUUUGGAGGAACACCAGUGGCGAAGGCGGCUUUCUGGUCUGUAACUGACGCUGAGGCGCGAAAGCGUGGGGAGCAAACAGGAUUAGAUACCCUGGUAGUCCACGCCGUAAACGAUGAGUGCUAAGUGUUAGGGGGUUUCCGCCCCUUAGUGCUGCAGCUAACGCAUUAAGCACUCCGCCUGGGGAGUACGGCCGCAAAGGCUG
This 374-nucleotide ribosomal RNA is filed under the name uncultured organism. Its description in RNAcentral is "partial 16S ribosomal RNA". It matches the Rfam family "Bacterial small subunit ribosomal RNA", at positions 527 to 896 of the family's 1533-position model. The record is from RNAcentral.